AGCUAGUUGGUGAGGUAACGGCUCACCAAGGCAACGAUGCAUAGCCGACCUGAGAGGGUGAUCGGCCACCACUGGGACUGAGACACCGGCCCAGACUCUACGGGAGGCAGCAGUAGGGAAUCUUCCGCAAUGGACGAAAGUCUGACGGAGCAACGCCGCGUGAGUGAUGAAGGCUUUCGGGUCGUAAAACUCUGUUGUUAGGGAAGAACAAGUACGAGAGUAACUGCUCGUACCUUGACGGUACCUAACCAGAAAGCCACGGCUAACUACGUGCCAGCAGCCGCGGUAAUACGUAGGUGGCAAGCGUUAUCCGGAAUUAUUGGGCGUAAAGCGCGCGCAGGCGGUUUCUUAAGUCUGAUGUGAAAGCCCACGGCUCAACCGUGGAGGGUCAUUGGAAACUGGGGAACUUGAGUGCAGAAGAGAAAAGCGGAAUUCCACGUGUAGCGGUGAAAUGCGUAGAGAUGUGGAGGAACACCAGUGGCGAAGGCGGCUUUUUGGUCUGUAACUGACGCUGAGGCGCGAAAGCGUGGGGAGCAAACAGGAUUAGAUACCCUGGUAGUCCACGCCGUAAACGAUGAGUGCUAAGUGUUAGAGGGUUUCCGCCCUUUAGUGCUGCAGCUAACGCAUUAAG
Molecule: ribosomal RNA, 631 nt
Filed under: Priestia aryabhattai B8W22
Lineage: Bacteria; Bacillati; Bacillota; Bacilli; Caryophanales; Bacillaceae
Description: bacterial SSU rRNA
Rfam family: Bacterial small subunit ribosomal RNA
Source: RNAcentral